This 352-nucleotide ribosomal RNA is filed under the name uncultured bacterium. RNAcentral describes it as "partial 16S ribosomal RNA". It matches the Rfam family "Bacterial small subunit ribosomal RNA", at positions 338 to 687 of the family's 1533-position model. The record is from RNAcentral.
CCUACGGGAGGCAGCAGUGAGGAAUAUUGGUCAAUGGACGCAAGUCUGAACCAGCCAUGCCGCGUGCAGGAAGACGGCUCUAUGAGUUGUAAACUGCUUUUGUACGAGGGUAAAUCCCGAUACGUGUAUCGGGUUGAAAGUAUCGUACGAAUAAGGAUCGGCUAACUCCGUGCCAGCAGCCGCGGUAAUACGGAGGAUUCAAGCGUUAUCCGGAUUUAUUGGGUUUAAAGGGUGCGUAGGGGGUUCGAUAAGUUAGAGGUGAAAUCCCGAGGCUCAACUUCGGAAUUGCCUCUGAUAGUGUGCGGCUAGAGAGUAGUGGCGGUAGGGGGAAUGUAUGGUGUAGCGGUGAAAU